GGCGGACGGGUUAGUAACGCGUGGGAACGUACCCAGAUCUAAGGAAUAGCCACUGGAAACGGUGAGUAAUACCUUAUACGCCCUUCGGGGGAAAGAUUUAUCGGAUUUGGAUCGGCCCGCGUUAGAUUAGAUAGUUGGUGGGGUAAUGGCCUACCAAGUCUACGAUCUAUAGCUGGUUUUAGAGGAUGAUCAGCAACACUGGGACUGAGACACGGCCCAGACUCCUACGGGAGGCAGCAGUGGGGAAUCUUGGACAAUGGGCGCAAGCCUGAUCCAGCCAUGCCGCGUGAGUGAUGAAGGCCUUAGGGUCGUAAAGCUCUUUCGCCAGAGAUGAUAAUGACAGUAUCUGGUAAAGAAACCCCGGCUAACUCCGUGCCAGCAGCCGCGGUAAUACGGAGGGGGUUAGCGUUGUUCGGAAUUACUGGGCGUAAAGCGUACGUAGGCGGAUUAGUCAGUCAGAGGUGAAAUCCCAGGGCUCAACCCUGGAACUGCCUUUGAUACUGCUAGUCUUGAGUUCGAGAGAGGUGAGUGGAAUUCCAAGUGUAGAGGUGAAAUUCGUAGAUAUUUGGAGGAACACCAGUGGCGAAGGCGGCUCACUGGCUCGAUACUGACGCUGAGGUACGAAAGUGUGGGGAGCAAACAGGAUUAGAUACCCUGGUAGUCCACACCGU
RNAcentral lists this ribosomal RNA (671 nucleotides) under uncultured Nautella sp. RNAcentral describes it as "bacterial SSU rRNA". It matches the Rfam family "Bacterial small subunit ribosomal RNA", at positions 97 to 803 of the family's 1533-position model. The record is from RNAcentral. Lineage: Bacteria; Pseudomonadati; Pseudomonadota; Alphaproteobacteria; Rhodobacterales; Roseobacteraceae.